This is a long non-coding RNA of Helianthus annuus (common sunflower), 945 nucleotides long. RefSeq lists it as uncharacterized. The record is from RefSeq and is a predicted model, not a curated record. Lineage: Eukaryota; Viridiplantae; Streptophyta; Magnoliopsida; Asterales; Asteraceae. The transcript has 3 exons.
CCCUUUGAAUGAGUACAAUAGAAAGGUAAGAGUAAGAACGAGAAAGGUUUCGGGGACGAAACCUUCUUUAAGGGGGGUAGACUUGUAACGCCCCAAAAACCGAAUUAUUAAAUUUCGAGCAUGUUUUGUUUUACACGAUGUGACAUGGUAACUAAGUUAGUUAACUUAGUUAUAGUUACAAGUUAAAUAUAAGGGAUGGAAAAAUUUGUGACUAACAAUUAACAAAUUACAAGGGUUAAAAGAGGAUAAAUAAGAAAGUGUUUUAUUUAAAGAAAUGAAGUUGUGGCAAGUAUGGAAAUAUGGUGAAUCUUGAGGGGCCAAACUUGGGCAACUUGAAAGAUGAAAUUACAUAAACUUAAAAAAAUAAAACACACACAUUAGAGAGGUGUGUGUGGGCGAUGGAUUGAGCAGGGGAGAAGACAAACCCUAAAAACCACAAAAUUCCCCAAAUUGGAAGAGAAAAAUGAAGGUUUGAUGGAUGCAUGAGCUAUAUUCCCAACCAUCUACACAAGAUAAACACAUGCAUUAGGGAUCAUGUGGAAGUGGACUCAAGCACGAAAGACUAACGGGUCAAGAGGGGACAAGGAAGCCAAUGCGAAAAUGGACGCUCAAGUGUAACGCAGGAAUAGCAGAGAAGUCUCACCGCGGGUCGUAUGAUCAGAUGGAAAGCCGGAAUGUAAAGAGUUAACGGAACGAAAAAUAAACGUGAAUGAAUUUUACAUGUUUACGAUGCGUACUGAUGUUUAUGAAUUUUAUGUGGUGAGCGCAGGUAGUACGAGAUACGAAGGAUCUUCAAGGGAUAGAGAUCAAGGACCGAGUCACAAGACAGAUUGUACGGGAACGUUGGUGUUGAAAUUUAGAAAACCCAUGUCAUGUAUUUAAUUGUAAAUGAGUCGGUUGAUGACUUCAUGUGAAAAAGUUGUGUUAAAAUGAAAUUUUAAAUAA